CUCGUUUUUAAUUUACCGUGCUGAACUUCCAACACGCUUUUAAGGGCGAGACCGGCGACAGCGCAGCUCCUGAAAAGAAACACGCACGACCGCUUGAAAAACUGCGCCGAGGAGAUAUUCCGCGGAGUUUAAAAAACCCCGAAGAGACCUGCAAGCGCUUGUCGAUACCGCUCCCCCUGGGACUGCUUCGGAGGAGCGGACGGGAGUCGGACAGGAACAGGAUACAGGCAUCGCUGACCCAAGAACCUGGACACGCUGGACCUCUCCCACCCACCCACCCCCCACCGGGCGAGGAGCAGAGCUUUGUCUCGUCCCCCUUGGGGAAAAAAAAACCCAGCGAAAAAGUCGGUCAAGUCUGGUCGCUCCAACCCGAAGAGACGGUCCUCCCUCAGCAUGUCGGCGGAGACGAGCCCCUGGUGAGUCUGGUCGCCUGUCUCUGGUUUUCCUCUCGGGGCCUUGGAAAGCAGGCUUAAUUCCAGAUGUGGUCUAACUAAGGCCCUGCCGGGGUUCAGUAAUCCCCCCCGCCUGCCUCCGAUCGCUCUCUGAAAGCGUGCCAGGGCCCUUUCCGAGCCCGAUUCCUGCAGGUUCGCCGAAGGCCGGCCCGCCCGGGGUCUGGAACUCGUCACACGGUCGAAACGCAACCUGCCAGAGGUUUUACAGGAGCCACCACAGACCAGGGUGGGGUGGGGAUCAAUAGAGAACCGCAGAGGGCAGAGGAGAGGAGGUGGGAGUGCGUCAGAGACCCUGAAAAACGACCGGGAAAACUCUCUAGGAUAUCUUGAACAGAAAAUCCACUGCCGUCUCAAGCAAGACAGGUAAUUAAACACCGAGAGCAGACGCAGAAGAGAGGAGAUCUUUCGAUCAGGCAUGUGGGCACCGAUUCGGGGUCGAAUUCGGGAGAAAACACCCGUGAUCUAAGUAGCUCACGUGCCGGACGUGCGUUAUUCCGGAGGUGAACGGGGCCCGACGGGAGAUCUGCGCGUGUCCCAGCUCUGAAACGCGUGGGCACCGAGGAGCUGCUCGUGACAAGGCCCCUUCUCGAGCUUCAGCUGAUUAAAAUAUCGUUUGCAUAGGAAGAGCCGGCAGGAGAGAAUCUCAAAGCGUUUUAACAAAGACCUGGUUACCGGUCCAGAAACAAGUGAAGGCCCUCGCGCUUCCUUCUGAAGAUCUUGCAAACACCGGACGGUCAUCGAAGAGCACAAUCACCUAAUCUUUACACAAAGAGCGGGGGGUGUCUGGAACAGGCCGCCCAGUUGAUUUUCCUGGAACCCCUUUCACAUAAUAGCUGCACAAGACCCUCGGCUCAAAAGCUACAGGCACCAAGAUGGGUCAGACAGCCUCAACUUGACUGAUGAUGCAUGAAAACUGGGGCUACUAAGUUUUCCUGUUUCAGAUGCCCCUGUAACUCGCCUUCCUCUAAGCUUUGUAAAUGAUCAGUAGGCCCUAAGUCAGGGAAAUUGUUUACUUUAGCCCUCUUUCGGUUUGUUUUUUUUCUGCACAUUUUCUAUAAAUUGUUACAUUUUUCAACGACGCCCUUGCGAAUCUGUCAGCGGUGUCCGCAAAUCAUUUCCAUUCUCGGAAGGGCUGGCAGCAGAAAGGUCAUAUUUGGCUUUGGAAGACUGCUGGAAGGGUGAUGUAAGAGGGACCAGGGCUGGGAGAGGGUGGAUCAGUGUCAUCUGCCUACAGCUGCUCAUGCCUUACAGACUAGGAGAAACAAUCAGGCGUCGGACUUACAAGUUAAAGGGGAAAUUUUUCUAUUUUUAUAUUUCGAGUUUAGAAAGGAUCGGCAGUGAGCAGCGCAUUUCAGACCACCAUAAAAUUAAAAUGCACACAGUGACGUGUUAAACCUCCGAUUCACAUCACAGAAUAGAGGAGAUUUCCAGGUCUGCUCAGCGCCAUGUUUCUGGGAUUCAGAACGAGGCAGCAGGACUUCCGGUGAGGUGGAGCGGCCCUGUGACCCUGUAAACAAGCAGGCUUGUGGAUCCAGCUCUUCUAAUCCAGUAGAAAUACUGCUCUCCUCUCCCAGACGGUUU
This 2033-nucleotide long non-coding RNA is filed under the name Lepisosteus oculatus (spotted gar). RNAcentral describes it as "lncRNA (ENSLOCG00000021151.1)". The record is from RNAcentral. Lineage: Eukaryota; Metazoa; Chordata; Actinopteri; Semionotiformes; Lepisosteidae.